Molecule: long non-coding RNA, 326 nt
Filed under: Sorghum bicolor (sorghum)
Lineage: Eukaryota; Viridiplantae; Streptophyta; Magnoliopsida; Poales; Poaceae
Description: long non-coding RNA (SBIC_LNC006947)
Source: RNAcentral
CGUGCGCUUGCGGAUCAUUUUCUAAUAGCGUUACCAAAUAUCAACAAGCAUUUCUGGCGCCGUUGCCGAGGAGAAAGACGGUUUGCUGAGAUAACUUUGAGUCUUGCUAUUAUCUUGUAUUAUACUUUUAUACUUUUAUUCUUUUAUCUUUUUAUUUUUUCUAUCUUUAUGGAUAACUCAAAUUCCAUACCUAUUAUUGAAUUCUUUGCACCUUCGGAGACCAGCCAUAGACCAUGGGAGUCAACACGUCCUGCCCCUAAUUAUGAUCUAUGUCCGGAGUUGAUUGCAAUAGGUCAAAACCAACCCUUUUCUAUAGCCAAGGUCCU